Molecule: ribosomal RNA, 428 nt
Filed under: uncultured bacterium
Lineage: Bacteria
Description: bacterial SSU rRNA
Rfam family: Bacterial small subunit ribosomal RNA
Source: RNAcentral
CUAAGAAUAUUCCGCAAUGGACGAAAGUCUGACGGAGCGACGCCGCGUGGAUGAAGAAGGCCGAAAGGUUGUAAAGUUCUUUUGUUGGGGAAGAAUAACCAUGGGAGGGAAUGCCCGUGGGAUGACGUGAACCGACGAAUAAGCCCCGGCUAACUACGUGCCAGCAGCCGCGGUAACACGUAGGGGGCGAGCGUUGUUCGGAAUUACUGGGCGUAAAGGGCAUGUAGGCGGUCUUGUAAGCUUGGCGUGAAAGACCACGGCUCAACCGUGGGAUUGCGUUGAGAACUGCGAGGCUUGAGUGACGGAGAGGGAGCUAGAAUUCCCGGUGUAGGGGUGGAAUCUGUAGAGAUCAGGAAGAAUACCAAUGGCGAAGGCAAGCUCCUGGCCGACGACUGACGCUGAGGUGCGAAAGUGUGGGGAUCAAACAG